This 691-nucleotide long non-coding RNA is filed under the name Olea europaea subsp. europaea. Lineage: Eukaryota; Viridiplantae; Streptophyta; Magnoliopsida; Lamiales; Oleaceae. The record is from RNAcentral.
CCCUUCCAAACUUUACAAGCUUCUUAAAAAACAUACGACUUUUUGGUUGUAGAUGAUGCAAUGAAGUACCAUAUGAGUGGAUAUCUAUAUGAUUCUAAAUCUGUCAAAUCAUUCAUGGUAUGAUCUUCUACAUCACAGGUCUUCCUAUUUCGUCAUCUGGCUUAAGUUCUUCAUGUAGCAUUUAUAUUGAAUGAGAAAUUACGUAAAUACUUCCACAUAUUAUUGAAUGCAAGAGAUAUCUCUAUUUUUCCUCCUGAGAAUCUUUAGAAUUCCCACUGCUUAGCUUUCAAUUUGCCACUAACUAUCAAAUAAAAUGUUAAUAACUCGUCGUCCUCUCUUUGAAAGUUUGAAAGAAUGGAUGAUUUUGAUUCCGUUGAUGCUUGAAACAAAUUUGUCUUCUCCAUAUUACUAUAUUUCUAGAGUCAAUAAUUUUAUAUAGGUAACUAGUGAACUUGAUCACUCGCUGUUGUUACUCUUAAAUUUUUUUGUUGAGAUCUAUCCUAUAGAGGUUCUCAAAUUUGAUUAGUGAUAGAUUUCUAAGUUUCAUUGUAAACCUAAUUAGUUAUUUCUAGUUACGUAAAUCAAUGGUUCAAACCGCACACAAAAGUCAAAGAUAAGGCAUUUCCCAUUUUUAUGGAACUUCUGUCCUAGAGACAAUGGUAUCUCCAAUUCUGGUCCCAUUUGGCUCCUC